RNAcentral lists this ribosomal RNA (327 nucleotides) under uncultured bacterium. RNAcentral's name for it is "bacterial SSU rRNA". It matches the Rfam family "Bacterial small subunit ribosomal RNA", at positions 568 to 898 of the family's 1533-position model. The record is from RNAcentral.
UGCGUAGGCGGCUCUUUAAGUCAGUGGUGAAAUCUUGCCGCUUAACGGUAAAAUUGCCAUUGAUACUGAAGAGCUUGAGUACAGUUGAGGUAAGCGGAAUGUGUAGUGUAGCGGUGAAAUGCUUAGAUAUUACACAGAACACCAAUUGCGAAGGCAGCUUACUAAACUGUUACUGACGCUGAUGCACGAAAGCGUGGGGAGCGAACAGGAUUAGAUACCCUGGUAGUCCACGCCGUAAACGAUGCUCACUCGCUGUUUGCGAUACACAGCAAGCGGCCAAGCGAAAGCAUUAAGUGAGCCACCUGGGGAUACGAUCGCAAGGUUGAA